GGUAGUUGGACCCCCCCGCUUGCGCAGCCAGCACUAAGUCAGGUCGCAAUCACGCACUGACUUACCAGCUGUACUGCUAUGGAAGACUUUGAGUUGGUUUAUACCGAAAAUGAUGAGACUUUCGACACAUUUGAUGACCUUAGCAAGGAUGAAGAUACUGACAGUGAUACACAAAGGCUCUGACAUAGAUGCAGAUAAAUAAACAGACAAUUCAGUAACAUAGGAGCUAUAGAUAUUUCAGAAGUUCUUAUUCCAGACUAUGUCAAUUCACCUCCCCCUGUUAAAGAUACAGAGGAAAUACUUUAUGGAAUAAGCUCACAUUGGGGAAAACAGUACUUUCUUGAUCACUAUCCAAUAAUAGAUCGUACUAAAUCUGAUGAAAAUUGUUUGUUCAGUAGAAACUUUAUUCGCUCAACUAUAAAGUCAAUUGAGCCAAAGUUAAGAGAGCUUUAUGCUCGAAAUAGAAUCAGUGAAUUUUCUAAGUAUAAGGAAAAGUCACUUAUUUACCUCAUAGAUUAUUGCGGAUGGAUUGAAA
Molecule: long non-coding RNA, 535 nt
Filed under: Amphimedon queenslandica
Lineage: Eukaryota; Metazoa; Porifera; Demospongiae; Haplosclerida; Niphatidae
Description: uncharacterized LOC109586628, transcript variant X2
Source: RNAcentral